Long non-coding RNA from Homo sapiens (human), 1263 nucleotides. NCBI's taxonomy places the organism in Eukaryota, Metazoa, Chordata, Mammalia, Primates, Hominidae. The record is from Ensembl.
GGGGCAGCCGGGAAGCGGAUGGGGCGGUGCAUCACUCGGGUCCGCUCCACACCGUCGCCACUGCUGUGGUAGCCGGUUGGCCGAGGGGCCACGAUAACUGGUUGCCCGCAGUAGGAGCAGAAUUCGUUAACAUCUGCCAUGUAGUGGAGGUUCCAGAGAAAAAGUGAGAGAAGCUGAGUCUGCACCCUCAACAUGGAGGAAAUAAGCUCUCUUAGGACCAAGAACAGAGGACAGAGGAAGGACUCCAGCAUGAUGGGCACCAAGGGAUUUUGGUCCUUCUGAGAAAGAGGAGUCUUUUUCAGAACUAUUUGAAAACAAGUUGCAGUCAUGAUGCCUCACUACUCCUAAAUGCUAUGCAGUUCCAACAAUGUGUCUUUGCCUUCUGGCCCCAGAAUAUCAUCUGGGAAUGCGUGUUGCAUCAAGUUGCGUCUCUCCAGUUGCCUCCAAUUUGGAAUACAGGGAGGUAUCUAUUCUGCAUAAAUUCAGAUGAGACAAUAAAAACAAUGAUUUCAAAGUUCCAGGUUUUACAAAAGGAGCCUGUGUUUGUGAAAACCUUCAGAGGAUGGAAACAGCAAAUACUGUUGUAGGGGAAGACAAUUGUUUACCUAAGAAAGUGUCCUGUAUUCAGAUUCUCCAGUUUCUAGUGACACUGGAUGCCUAUGGAUCACAGGGACUGUGAGAUAUGUCCUUAGGAGUAAAGUUUUGUUGUGACGUGUUAUAUUCAGUGUUCAAGUAUCCGUGGGUUGAACGAUACUUCUCUUUCUGUCUGUGAGCAUAAACUUGACUUCAGAAGAGAGCAUGGGGUAAAGACAAGCCUCUCUCCUUUCCCAUACUUGAGUAGUAGCAUAUGAAGUCUGGAAAGACAUAACUAGGUAAAAUAUUUUAUAUUACUGUAGUAGGGCUUUACCCCAUUUCAGAGCCUUCCUUUAUCUUUCUUGUUUUUAAUUCUGUAAUUCACGUCACACUAGUCUGAAUUGGUUUUCCUUCUCCAAAACUCCCUGGCCUAUAUCAUAAAUUUAACCCUUUAUAUGAAUUGCUUUACAUUGUUUUCCAGUUGUUUCAUAUCUUGUCUUGAUGCUAUCGAUUGUCAAAGACAGAACAAGGCUGGUUUCACAGUGGGCCUCUUUUCUCAAAAAUAUCCAUUCAUGGGAAUGAGAGAGAAGUUACAUAAUAGUUUUAAUGAAUAACAUUUUUGUAGUGAUCACCUUCAAAAUUUCAAAAUGCUUCUGUUUUUCAAAAAAUAAAGAUUGAUUUUGAAAUUAA